ACGGAAGGCAGCAGUGAGGAAUAUUGGUCAAUGGACGGAAGUCUGAACCAGCCAUGCCGCGUGAAGGAAUAAGGCCCUAUGGGUCGUAAACUUCUUUUGUGGUGGAGCAAUAAGGUGCACGUGUGCAUCGAUGAGAGUACAUCACGAAUAAGCAUCGGCUAACUCCGUGCCAGCAGCCGCGGUAAUACGGAGGAUGCGAGCGUUAUCCGGAUUUAUUGGGUUUAAAGGGUGCGUAGGCUGUUCUUCAAGUCAGAGGUGAAAUACCGGGGCUCAACCCUGGAACUGCCUUUGAUACUGGAGGGCUUUAAUACUGUUGCCGUGGGAGGAAUGAGUAGUGUAGCGGUGAAAUGCAUAGAUAUUACUCAGAACACCGAUUGCGAAGGCAUCUCACGAAGCAGCGAUUGACGCUGAGGCACGAAAGCGUGGGGAUCAAACAGGAUUAGAUACCCUGGUA
This 454-nucleotide ribosomal RNA is filed under the name uncultured Rikenellaceae bacterium. RNAcentral's name for it is "partial 16S ribosomal RNA". It matches the Rfam family "Bacterial small subunit ribosomal RNA", at positions 341 to 792 of the family's 1533-position model. The record is from RNAcentral. Lineage: Bacteria; Pseudomonadati; Bacteroidota; Bacteroidia; Bacteroidales; Rikenellaceae.